This 72-nucleotide transfer RNA is filed under the name Raphidocelis subcapitata. RNAcentral describes it as "tRNA-Arg". It matches the Rfam family "tRNA". Rfam says of the family: Transfer RNA (tRNA) molecules are approximately 80 nucleotides in length. Their secondary structure includes four short double-helical elements and three loops (D, anti-codon, and T loops). Lineage: Eukaryota; Viridiplantae; Chlorophyta; Chlorophyceae; Sphaeropleales; Selenastraceae. The record is from RNAcentral.
GAGGGGUUGGUGCAAGGGAUAGCACGGGGUUUUCCUAAAACCUAGAUGGUAGUUCGAGUCUGCCACACCUUA